UGAAACUGUGUGUAGAGGCAGU
This 22-nucleotide non-coding RNA is filed under the name Mus musculus (house mouse). Lineage: Eukaryota; Metazoa; Chordata; Mammalia; Rodentia; Muridae. The record is from RNAcentral.